UAGUCGAGAGAAACGACAAUGACACUUUCUUGGCAAUGUUCGGGAUCGAUCUUGGAGUUCAAGAUUUCAGAUUUGGGGCUGAUUUUAAUGAGGAAAAAUGACAGCAAUAUGGUGGAGAAUAUGUUAACAAAUCUUGUGGCAAAAAGAAAAAGAAAAGAAAAAGAUGGUAAAAUUAGGUGUAGGCGACGACAACAAUGGAGGAAAGGAAAAAAAAUUAAAAACAAAGAG
RNAcentral lists this long non-coding RNA (228 nucleotides) under Gossypium raimondii (Peruvian cotton). Its description in RNAcentral is "long non-coding RNA (GRAI_LNC002177)". The record is from RNAcentral. Lineage: Eukaryota; Viridiplantae; Streptophyta; Magnoliopsida; Malvales; Malvaceae.